RNAcentral lists this ribosomal RNA (465 nucleotides) under Vreelandella stevensii. Its description in RNAcentral is "partial 16S ribosomal RNA". It matches the Rfam family "Bacterial small subunit ribosomal RNA", at positions 338 to 795 of the family's 1533-position model. The record is from RNAcentral. Lineage: Bacteria; Pseudomonadati; Pseudomonadota; Gammaproteobacteria; Oceanospirillales; Halomonadaceae.
CCUACGGGGCGCUGCAGUGGGGAAUAUUGGACAAUGGGGGCAACCCUGAUCCAGCCAUGCCGCGUGUGUGAAGAAGGCCCUCGGGUUGUAAAGCACUUUCAGUGAGGAAGAACGCUUGGUGGUUAAUACCCAUCAGGAAAGACAUCACUCACAGAAGAAGCACCGGCUAACUCCGUGCCAGCAGCCGCGGUAAUACGGAGGGUGCGAGCGUUAAUCGGAAUUACUGGGCGUAAAGCGCGCGUAGGUGGCUUGAUAAGCCGGUUGUGAAAGCCCCGGGCUCAACCUGGGAACGGCAUCCGGAACUGUCAAGCUAGAGUGCAGGAGAGGAAGGUAGAAUUCCCGGUGUAGCGGUGAAAUGCGUAGAGAUCGGGAGGAAUACCAGUGGCGAAGGCGGCCUUCUGGACUGACACUGACACUGAGGUGCGAAAGCGUGGGUAGCAAACAGGAAUAGAUACCCGAGUAGUC